GCGCCCGCGCUGUGCGCCUUUGCGAGGGCGGAGCUGCGUUCUCCUCAGCACAGACCCAGAUUGCAUCGUGAGGGCGAGCUGAGUUCUCCUCUGCACAGACUUCGGAGAUACAGCGAAGUCGGAGCAGUGUUUUCCUCAGCACAGACCCGGGCGGGCGGGCCGGGGGCACCGCGAGGGCGGAGCUGCGUUCUGCUCAGCACAGACCCGGGGUACACCUCGAAGGCAGAGCAGCUUUCUCCUCAGCACAGACCUUGGGGACACUGCCUCCCUUUGAGCAGAAUAGGUGAAUGAAUGAAUGAGUGUAAUCACAUGCCCUGCCUUUCCCUGUUUAUCAAGCCUGGCAUCACUUCAGAAUCUCUUGUUAGGAUUUAUGAUACCCAGGCUUUACCUCAGAAGCUGAGAGUGGCACUCAGAUUACUGAUUUUGGGCACUCCAAGAUUUUGGGAGAGACCUCUCUCGUGAGAACCUUAUGUGGAACCCCCACCUGCUUGGCUCCUGAAGUUCUUGUUUCUGUUGGACUGCUGGGUUUUAGGAGUUAUUCUUUUUAUCUGCCUUAGUGGGUAUCCACCUUUCUCUGAGCAUAGGACUCAAGUGUCACUGAAGGAUCAGAUCACCAGUGGAAAACACAACUUCAUUCCUAAAGUCUGGGCAGAAGUCUCAGAGAAAGCUCUGGACCUUGUCAAGAAGUUGUUGGUAGUGGAUCCAAAGGCAUGUUUUACGACAGAAGAAGCCUUAAGACACCAUGGUUUCAGGAUGAAGACACGAAGAGAAAGUUUCAAGAUCUUCUGUCUGAGGAAAAUGAAUCCACAGGUCUAUCCCAGGUUCUAGCCCAGCCUUCUACUAGUCGAAAGCGGCCUCCUGAAGGGGAAGCCGAGGGUGCCGAGACCACAAAGCGCCCGGCUGUGUGUGCUGCUGUGUUGUGAACUCCGUGGUUUGAACAUGAAAGAAAUGUACCUUCUUUCACUCUGUCAUCUUUCUUUUCUUUGAGUCUGUUUUUUUAUAGUUUGUAUAUCAAUUAUGGAAAUAAUUGCUUUUUCACAGUCACUGAUGUACAAUUAAAAACCUGAUGGAACCUGGGC
Long non-coding RNA from Pan troglodytes (chimpanzee), 1079 nucleotides. RefSeq lists it as uncharacterized. The transcript has 6 exons. Lineage: Eukaryota; Metazoa; Chordata; Mammalia; Primates; Hominidae. The record is from RefSeq and is a predicted model, not a curated record.